GGGGGGGGGGGGGGGGGUGGGGGGGGGGGGGGGGGGGGGGGGGGGGGCGAGAAGCGUGCUUCGCUGGUGUUGGCGGCGGACGGGGGGGUAAGCCGUGGAUAACCUAGCUAUAAGCCUGGGGUGAGUUCGGGGAACCGUAGCUAAUACCGGAUAAUAUUUUGAACCGCAUGGUUCUAACGUGGACGACGGGAUUGCUGUCACUUCUAGAUUGAUCCGCGCGGCCUUCGCUUGUUGGUAAGGUAACGGCUUACCAAGGCAACGAUACAUAGCCGCCCUGCGCGGGUGAUCGGCCACCCUGGAACGGAGACACGCUCCAGACUCCUACGGGAGGCAGCAGUAGGGACGCUUCCGCAAUGGGCGAAAGCCUGACGGAGCAACGCCGCGUGAGUGAUGAAGGUCUUCGGAUCGUAAAACUCUGUUAUUAGGGAAGAACAUAUGUGUAAGUAACUGUGCACAUCUUGACGGUACCUAAUCAGAAAGCCACGGCUAACUACGUG
Molecule: ribosomal RNA, 497 nt
Filed under: uncultured bacterium
Lineage: Bacteria
Description: partial 16S ribosomal RNA
Rfam family: Bacterial small subunit ribosomal RNA
Source: RNAcentral